GAUGAACGCUGGCGGCGUGCCUAAUACAUGCAAGUCGAGCGAACGGACGAGAAGCUUGCUUUUCUGAUGUUAGCGGCGGACGGGUGAGUAACACGUGGAUAACCUACCUAUAAGACUGGGAUAACUUCGGGAAACCGGAGCUAAUACCGGAUAAUAUUUUGAACCGCAUGGUUCAAAAGUGAAAGACGGUCUUGCUGUCACUUAUAGAUGGAUCCGCGCUGCAUUAGCUAGUUGGUAAGGUAACGGCUUACCAAGGCCACGAUGCAUAGCCGACCUGAGAGGGUGAUCGGCCACACUGGAGCUGAGACACGGUCCAGACUCCUACGGGAGGCAGCAGUAGGGAAUCUUCCGCAAUGGGCGAAAGCCUGACGGAGCAACGCCGCGUGAGUGAUGAAGGUCUUCGGAUCGUAAAACUCUGUUAUUAGGGAAGAACAUAUGUGUAAGUAACUGUGCACAUCUUGACGGUACCUAAUCAGAAAGCCACGGCUAACUACGUG
Molecule: ribosomal RNA, 497 nt
Filed under: uncultured bacterium
Lineage: Bacteria
Description: partial 16S ribosomal RNA
Rfam family: Bacterial small subunit ribosomal RNA
Source: RNAcentral